This 497-nucleotide ribosomal RNA is filed under the name uncultured bacterium. Its description in RNAcentral is "bacterial SSU rRNA". It matches the Rfam family "Bacterial small subunit ribosomal RNA", at positions 430 to 919 of the family's 1533-position model. The record is from RNAcentral.
GCACUUUUAUCAGGAACGAAAAGCGUUGGAUUAAUACUCUGACGUGCUGACGGUACCUGAGGAAUAAGCACCGGCUAACUUCGUGCCAGCAGCCGCGGUAAUACGAAGGGUGCAAGCGUUAAUCGGAAUUACUGGGCGUAAAGCGUGCGUAGAUGGUUCGCUAAGUCGGAUGUGAAAGCCCCGGGCUCAACCUGGGAACUGCAUCCGAUACUGGCGGACUAGAGUGUGAUAGAGGAUGGCGGAAUUCCCGGUGUAGCGGUGAAAUGCGUAGAGAUCGGGAGGAACAUCCGUGGCGAAGGCGGCCAUCUGGAUCAACACUGACGUUGAGGCACGAAAGCGUGGGGAGCAAACAGGAUUAGAUACCCUGGUAGUCCACGCCCUAAACGAUGUCGACUGGAUGUUGGGUGCAACUUGGCACUCAGUAUCGAAGCUAACGCGUUAAGUCGACCGCCUGGGAGUACGCGCGCAAGCGUGAAACUCAAAGGAAUUGACGGGGG